This 492-nucleotide ribosomal RNA is filed under the name uncultured bacterium. RNAcentral describes it as "partial 16S ribosomal RNA". It matches the Rfam family "Bacterial small subunit ribosomal RNA", at positions 29 to 507 of the family's 1533-position model. The record is from RNAcentral.
AGUGAACGCUGGCGGUAGGCCUAACACAUGCAAGUCGAACGGCAGCACAGUAAGAGCUUGCUCUUACGGGUGGCGAGUGGCGGACGGGUGAGGAAUACAUCGGAAUCUACUUUUUCGUGGGGGAUAACGUAGGGAAACUUACGCUAAUACCGCAUACGACCUACGGGUGAAAGCAGGGGAUCUUCGGACCUUGCGCGAUUGAAUGAGCCGAUGUCGGAUUAGCUAGUUGGCGGGGUAAAGGCCCACCAAGGCGACGAUCCGUAGCUGGUCUGAGAGGAUGAUCAGCCACACUGGAACUGAGACACGGUCCAGACACCUACGGGAGGCAGCAGUAGGGAAUAUUGGACAAUGGGCGCAAGCCUGAUCCAGCCAUACCGCGUGGGUGAAGAAGGCCUUCGGGUUGUAAAGCCCUUCUGUUGGGAAAGAAAAGCAGCAGGUUAAUACCCCGCUGUUCUGACGGUACCCAAAGAAUAAGCACCGGCUAACUUCGUG